UAAUACAUGCAAGUCGAACGGCUUUUCUAUGGAAGCUUGCUUCCACUGAGAAGAUAGUGGCGAACGGGUGAGUAACACGUGGGUAACCUGCCCAUAAGAGGGGGAUAACAUCCGGAAACGGGUGCUAAUACCGCAUAGUUUUCUUGAUCGCAUGAUCGGGAAAGGAAAGACGGCCUUUGUGCUGUCGCUUAUGGAUGGACCCGCGGCGUAUUAGUUAGUUGGUGAGGUAACGGCUCACCAAGACGAUGAUACGUAGCCGACCUGAGAGGGUGAUCGGCCACAUUGGGACUGAGACACGGCCCAAACUCCUACGGGAGGCAGCAGUAGGGAAUCUUCCGCAAUGGACGAAAGUCUGACGGAGCAACGCCGCGUGAGUGAAGAAGGUUUUUCGGGAAUCGUAAAACUCUGUUGUCAGAGAAGAACAAGUUGGAGAGUAACUGCUCCAGCCUUGACGGUAUCUGACCAGAAAGCCACGGCUAACUACGUGCCAGCAGCUGC
This 498-nucleotide ribosomal RNA is filed under the name uncultured bacterium. RNAcentral's name for it is "bacterial SSU rRNA". It matches the Rfam family "Bacterial small subunit ribosomal RNA", at positions 49 to 518 of the family's 1533-position model. The record is from RNAcentral.